Molecule: transfer RNA, 82 nt
Filed under: Apaloderma vittatum (bar-tailed trogon)
Lineage: Eukaryota; Metazoa; Chordata; Aves; Trogoniformes; Trogonidae
Rfam family: tRNA
About the family: Transfer RNA (tRNA) molecules are approximately 80 nucleotides in length. Their secondary structure includes four short double-helical elements and three loops (D, anti-codon, and T loops). Further hydrogen bonds mediate the characteristic L-shaped molecular structure. tRNAs have two regions of fundamental functional importance: the anti-codon, which is responsible for specific mRNA codon recognition, and the 3' end, to which the tRNAs corresponding amino acid is attached (by aminoacyl-tRNA synthetases). tRNAs cope with the degeneracy of the genetic code in two manners: having more than one tRNA (with a specific anti-codon) for a particular amino acid; and 'wobble' base-pairing, i.e. permitting non-standard base-pairing at the 3rd anti-codon position.
Source: Rfam by way of RNAcentral
GGCUGGUUAGCUCAGCGGUUUGAGUGCGCUGCUGACAACAAUGACAACACCAAGGUCGCGGGUUCGAUUCCCGCUCUGUCCC